GUUCCGCUAACUCAGCGGCCAGAGUGCCUCCCUGUCUAGGAGGAAGUCAGGGGUUCGACUCCCCUGCGGAACGCCA
This 76-nucleotide transfer RNA is filed under the name Variovorax sp. RNAcentral's name for it is "tRNA-Asp". It matches the Rfam family "tRNA". Rfam says of the family: Transfer RNA (tRNA) molecules are approximately 80 nucleotides in length. RNAcentral also lists the same sequence under 6 other names. Lineage: Bacteria; Pseudomonadati; Pseudomonadota; Betaproteobacteria; Burkholderiales; Comamonadaceae. The record is from RNAcentral.